UCGCGAAAACUUCGCAAUGGGGGCAACCCCGACGAGGGAAUUCCAAGUGCCAGCACUUUGUGUUGGCUGUUCUCCUGUCUAAAAAACAGGAGGAGUAAGGGGCGGGUAAGACGGGUGCCAGCCGCCGCGGUAAUACCCGCGCCCCUAGUGGUGGUCGAUAUUAUUGAGCCUAAAACGUCCGUAGCCGGUCUUCUAAAUCCUUGGGUAAAUCGGACAGCUUAACUGUCCGAAUUCCGGGGAGACUGGGAGACUUGGGACCGGGAGAGGUCAGAGGUACUUCUGGGGUAGGGGUAAAAUCCUGUAAUCCUGGAAGGACCACCGGUGGCGAAGGCGUCUGACUAGAACGGAUCCGACGGUGAGGGACGAAGCCCUGGGGCGCAAACGGG
This 386-nucleotide ribosomal RNA is filed under the name uncultured bacterium. Its description in RNAcentral is "bacterial SSU rRNA". It matches the Rfam family "Archaeal small subunit ribosomal RNA", at positions 339 to 727 of the family's 1478-position model. The record is from RNAcentral.